AGUCUGUGAUGAUUUUAAAUGUAAGAGUAGUGGACAGAAGUCAUUUCUGAGCAACAUCUCACUGAGACU
Thalassophryne amazonica is the source of this 69-nucleotide small nucleolar RNA. RefSeq annotates it as small nucleolar RNA SNORD75. The record is from RefSeq and is a predicted model, not a curated record. NCBI's taxonomy places the organism in Eukaryota, Metazoa, Chordata, Actinopteri, Batrachoidiformes, Batrachoididae. The transcript has a single exon.